RNAcentral lists this ribosomal RNA (250 nucleotides) under uncultured prokaryote. RNAcentral's name for it is "partial 16S ribosomal RNA". It matches the Rfam family "Bacterial small subunit ribosomal RNA", at positions 524 to 773 of the family's 1533-position model. The record is from RNAcentral.
GACGUAGGUAGCAAGCGUUGUCCGGAAUAACUGGGCGUAAAGGGUGCGUAGGCGGUUUCUUAAGUCUGAUGUGAAAUCCUGUGGCUCAACCACAGAACUGCAUUAGAUACUGGGAGACUGGAGUGCGGAAGAGGUUAACGGAAUUACUAGUGUGGCGGUGGAAUGCGUAGAUAUUAGUAAGAAGACCGGUGGCGAAGGCGGUUAACUGGGACGUAACUGACGCUGAGGCACGAAAGCGUGGGGAGCAAAC